RNAcentral lists this long non-coding RNA (568 nucleotides) under Olea europaea subsp. europaea. Lineage: Eukaryota; Viridiplantae; Streptophyta; Magnoliopsida; Lamiales; Oleaceae. The record is from RNAcentral.
CCACCUCCCUAAUUUCAUUUUCCCCGAAUGGUCUCUCGGACCAACUGACAUCCUCCUUCGUGAUAGUAGAAAAAUCUAGCCCAUCCAACUCUGGCCUUCACUCAAGCUGUUCCCGAUAGAAAUUUUGAUAUAAUCUCACCAUUUAGUUCCUAAUAUCCUAUGGAUCCUCAUAAGUAACCCCAUCUACCUCCAAAAAUGUGAUAGAAUUGUUGCACCUGUUAGAAUUUGCGACACUAUAGAAAAACUUGGAGCAUGUCCCCUUCUUUCAAACAUGUGAUCCUGGAUUUCUGACUUCGGGCAAUCUCCUCCAUCUCCAUCAACUUCUCCAACUCUCCUCUCCUCCCCAUCCAACCCUUGACUCUCAUCCCUCCUAUCUAACUCCUCCAUGUUUGAAAGACGCCAAUUUUUACACCAAUUUACAUUGCCCACCACCUCCUCAUUCUACUUCUUUAACUCCCAUUUCAAAGCCUUCAAUUUUUUAUCCAACAUAUAACUACGAAACCCCUUGAAAUCAUAAGAGGUCCACAAAGUCUGGACACACUCCCUAAAACCUUUAACUUUUAACCGU